Molecule: non-coding RNA, 707 nt
Organism: Cinara cedri
Lineage: Eukaryota; Metazoa; Arthropoda; Insecta; Hemiptera; Aphididae
Source: the annotation of a GenBank genome assembly
UAUUAUUGAAAAUUCAUGAAAGUGGGUGUGCAUGGGGUGAAAAGGGACUUUUCAUCCCAUGGACACCCACUUAUAUAUCUUUCAGUGAAAAUGAUCCAAAAAUACUAAUAACUUGUGUUUUAUUAAUUGUUUAUAAAUUUCUACAUGAAAAAAGCCAAACAAACUGCACAAGAUGGAUCUGUUCACUCACAACAUGAAAUACUUUCUCAAAUAUAGGUGAACAUAUUAUUGAAAGUUCAUGAAAGUGGUUGUGCAUGGGGUGGAAAGGGACUUUGCAUCCCAUGGACAACCACUUAUAUAUCUUUCAAUGAAAAUGAUCCAGAAAUACUUUAAACUUGUGUUUUAUCAAUUGUUUAUANCUGUUCACUCACAAUAUGAAAUACUUACUCAAAUUUAUGCGAACAUAUUAUUGAAAAUUCAUGAAAGUGGGUGUGCAUGGGGUGAAAAGGGACUUUUCAUCCCAUGGACACCCACUUAUAUAUCUUUUAGUGAAAAUGAUCCAAAAAUACUAAUAACUUGUGUUUUAUUAAUUGUUUACAAUAUUUCUACUUGAAAAUUACCAAACGAACAGCACAAGAUGGAUCUGUGCACAACAUGAAAUACUUACUUUAAAUAUAUGCGAACAUAUUAUUGAAAAUUCAUGAAAGUGGGUGUGCAUCGGUUGAAAAGAGUCUUUUCGUCCCAUGGACAACCACUUAUAUAUCUUC